CUAUAUUUCUUGACCUUUCUCUAUUUGUGUCUAAUGCCGAAUUCAUUUCUUUAAUUUGACAUUGAUGUCAUAUAUAUAUAUAUAUAUAGAGAAUAUAUAUAUAUAGAAGGUUCUUUGACAAUGAAAAACAAAUUACACUAAUUCAUCUAUUGAUAUGAAUAACAGGAUGUAAUGGACACGUGACAUACAUCGGUACCGGUGGAUUAUCGUAAUAACCAUAUAACGGUUGAGAUACCUGCGGGGGUGGUGCAAAUGGAUGCAUAACAUGAACUGGUUGAACAUAGGGCAUCAUUUGUACCGGUGUGGUAGGUACCGAAGAACCAUGUACACCGUUACCACGACCUAACGUUGAUCCGUUAUAAGAUCCCACGUAAACAUCGUGAUUGAUCUUACCCGAGUAAGCACUCGCAGGUCUUAUCAUUGAAGCUUCAUGAAUGCUAGAUGCCACUGCCGUCAUUCUAGCUUCGUUCAUUUGGGUGCUCCAUUUGAGCCGACAGAUACAUAUGACUAUAACGAUGAUGGCUAUAAAAGCGACGACACCACCAACUAUGCCAAUUAUUAAAGUAUCGUCUGUACUCGACACAUUUCCAACGGUAACACUACUGGUUCAGCCGUUGUUGAUCUCGAGGAAGGUGUCAUUUCUGUUGUUUGAUAUCUACUAAGGGUUGUCCGAUCACAAGUAAGAUAUUCCUCGGUAAGAUUAUUCAAUAACAUUCCUGAUACAUAAUCAGGAGUCAUACAAAUAACAUUAGAUGCUCUAUUGCCUAAUCCUUUUAACCAUCUCCAAAGAUGUUUCGUUUCACAGUUACAAUUAAUAGGAUUACUAUCCAAACCAGUGAGUUUUACGAAACCACUUCUUUCAUCGAGAGCAGCCAACAAUUGUACGGACAGAGUAGUGAAUUUAUUUCCAGUUAUAUCCAAUGAGACUACUGUAGAACGUGGUACCGGGAAGAAGAGAGCUGCUGGUAUCGUGUCAACGGAUGUAUUUUUCAGACCAAGGGACAAUGAAGGUACACGUACACCCACCAACGAACUCGAAAGUACGAACAAUCGACCUGGGAUUUCUCGCACCAAGUUACGCGUUAAUCCUAACGUAACGAGACUAGAUGACGUAGAUCGAAUUAAUUCCGUGGAUAAUGCCGCUACACGAUUGAAUUCGACGUGAAGAUGAGCCAAUGCUGGUAGUCGUGUUAGUGCUGUAGCCGGUACUAAUAAAAUAUUGUUAUCCUGUAGCGACAACCAUUUUAAUUUUACUAAUCCUUCGAAGGAUGACUCCUCUAUCUGAAAAUAAAGAAAAAAAAAAUAAAUAAAUAAAAAUAAAAAAAUAAAAAAUUAUAUUUUAUUAUAGAAUAAAAAUUAAAUAUAUUUUUUAUAUUACCGUACGCAAAGCAUUCAAGCUUAAAUCAAGUCUAGUGAGAGAGGAAAGACUGGAGAACGUAUUUAUUCCAAGUCGACCAAUAUUAUUUCGACUUAGAUCGAGUACUUGUAAUUCGGUCAGGCCUAACAAAUGGACACGUUCAAUUUCCUAAAUAAUAUUUCAAAUUAAUCGUACAUAAUUAAGUGAAAUUUGUUAAAUUUAAUAUCUUGAUUGAACUUACUGUAAUUAAAUUAUUUGAAAUAUUCAAAAACUUUAGAUCCGUCAAAUGUCUCAAAGCAUAAGUAGGAAAUUCUUGUAAGUAGUUCACAGAAAGAUCCAAUUGUAAUAAAUUGUAUGCUCCUGAAAUAAUCGAUUAUUAGUAUUAAUAUAAUCUUUUAUUAUUUUG
Long non-coding RNA from Vespa mandarinia (Asian giant hornet), 1763 nucleotides. The record is from RefSeq and is a predicted model, not a curated record. Lineage: Eukaryota; Metazoa; Arthropoda; Insecta; Hymenoptera; Vespidae.